AUUGAACGCUGGCGGCAGGCUUAACACAUGCAAGUCGAGCGAGCGGCGGACGGGUGAGUAAUGUCUGGGAAACUGCCUGAUGGAGGGGGAUAACUACGGGAAACGGUGGCUAAUCCGGAUUACCUUCGGCGGUGCCCGGAUGGGAUUAGCUAGUAGGUGGGGUAAUGGCUAACAUAGGCGACGAUCCCUAGCUGGUCUGAGAGGAUGACCAGCCACACUGGAACUGAGACACGGUCCAGACUCCUACGGGAGGCAGCAGUGGGGAAUAUUGCACAAUGGGCGCAAGCCUGAUGCAGCCAUGCCGCGUGUGUGAAGAAGGCCUUCGGGUUGUAAAGCACUUUCAGCGAGGAGGCGUUACUCGCAGAAGAAGCACCGGCUAACUCCGUGCCAGCAGCCGCGGUAAUUC
RNAcentral lists this ribosomal RNA (406 nucleotides) under uncultured bacterium. RNAcentral's name for it is "partial 16S ribosomal RNA". It matches the Rfam family "Bacterial small subunit ribosomal RNA", at positions 30 to 526 of the family's 1533-position model. The record is from RNAcentral.